UUACAGUCCACAUGUUUUAAGUCUAACAGAAAAAAAAAUCAUGAAGUUGUGAGACAGUUCCAAGUCUGCAUCUACAUCCUCAGGUUGGUGACCUUGGGGCACCACUUUCAGAUAAAAACAUAGACCUGAAUGGCAUCAUCCAGUAUCCAAGGAAACCAUGUAUUCAAGUAGUCACUCCUUCUCUGCCUGAUUUGAGACCAUGUUACCUACAGCUGCAUGGGACUGCAGAACUCACUGUGCCCUUCGAAUGUUAUGCCUGUCUGUCUCACUGACCCUUGGGUUGGGUGACAGCCUUGGAUGGGGCCCGUGCUGUAUUUAUGAUCC
Aethalodelphis obliquidens (Pacific white-sided dolphin) is the source of this 324-nucleotide long non-coding RNA. RefSeq lists it as uncharacterized. The record is from RefSeq and is a predicted model, not a curated record. The transcript has 3 exons. NCBI's taxonomy places the organism in Eukaryota, Metazoa, Chordata, Mammalia, Artiodactyla, Delphinidae.